Molecule: long non-coding RNA, 524 nt
Organism: Tarenaya hassleriana
Lineage: Eukaryota; Viridiplantae; Streptophyta; Magnoliopsida; Brassicales; Cleomaceae
Exons: 3
Source: RefSeq, a predicted model, not a curated record
GAAGUGGCAUGGUAAACAUGCAGCCCGGGCUUCGCAUCGAUGCCAUGUUUUGCCAUGGCUGCCAUUGCUGCAUUCACAGCCAUAUCCACAGGAACUGAGUCUGAUCCAAAGAAUUAACAAAGACGAGGAAAGAAAAGGAAAGGCAGCUGCUUACAAUGUCAACUACAGUUUGAGGGUCACCCAAGAAGCCAGGGAGCUGUCCUUUGCCAUAGGCUAAGAGCACUGGAUCUGCCAUUCUGAUAGCCAAGGGAGGAGAGGGUUUUUUCAGCUUCUCAAUGACCAGGGACAGGUUCUCUAUAAGAGCUUUCAAUGAUACUAGGACGUAUGAUCACGACAGGCAGAUCCCCUCGCGAGCUGUCUAUCACCAUCUCGCCCAUUGCUUUGGUGAAGGUGUAAGUGUUUUGGAACCCGUGGAUUAUGGCUCUGGUGUUGAUGUUUUCACAAGAUUGAAGGUGCAAGUUAGCUAUGAAGGUUGGUUGAAGUUACAGAAAUCGGUCUGCUCUAUGCAUUAGCGUGCAAGUUAG